This is a long non-coding RNA of Felis catus (domestic cat), 3943 nucleotides long. RefSeq lists it as uncharacterized. NCBI's taxonomy places the organism in Eukaryota, Metazoa, Chordata, Mammalia, Carnivora, Felidae. The record is from RefSeq and is a predicted model, not a curated record. The transcript has 2 exons.
GCAGCGCGUAGUGCCCCGCGUCCUCCAGCGUCGCCUCGUUGAUGAUGAGGUGGUGUCUCUGCCCGUCCUUCUUGAACCGGUAUUUGAAGGUCUCCUCCCUGGUCAGCUCCACCCCAUCCUUCAGCCUGGCCGGUGGGCGGGCGGGUCCCGGCCUCCCAGGGGCCCCGGUCCAGGCCCACCUUUGACGAACAGCUCGGUGCUGCACUUCUCCCCGCCCACCACGCACUGGUAGGCCGCGUCAUCGGCCAGCGAGCACUGGCUGAUGGUCAGCGUGCGCUUGGCACCCACGGACUCGAAGAUGUACCUGUGCCGGGGGCCGGGGGCGGGGCAUGGAUGGACGGCCGUCACUCACCUCGUGUGUCCCAGGUGCCCCGUCCAACCCCCUCCUCCCGUCGGACCGUGCCCCCACCCCCGAGCCUUCCUUCCCGGAGCUGGGCCUUACUUGCUGUGGAGCAGAAGGGGCCACGGGAGCAUCCAGGCGGGAGGAAGCGAGACCCGGAGCAAAAGGGCGAGGAACAGAGACAGGCAGAAACAGAAAGAUGGGCAAUUAGACCCAGGGAGAGGAAAAUGGGGAGAGACACGCAGGGCAGAAGCCGCACAGAGACAGAGAACACGGCAGCGGGGGGCCGUGAGAGGCACGGAGAGCAGGCUGGGAGCCUCCCUGCCCCCGCUGCUCCCAGGACUGCACCUGCCCCCCCCCCCCAGCCCCACCGCACCUGCCGCUCAUCUGGAUCUCCUGUCCAUUCUUCAGCCACUUGACCUCGGCGUCGGGGUCGGCCAGCUCCACGGUCAGCCGGAUCUUGUGGCCCUUGCUCACCUGGUAGGCGGGCUCCAGCUUCUUCUGAAAGGCUGAGCACCUCCGUCAGCACCCCCACUGCCCUGCCGCCCCUGCUGCCCCAGAAGGCUCACACGCAUCGCCGUGGCUGGUGGCCGUGCCACUGGGCCGAGUCCUCCCACCGCACUCUGCCUGUGUCCCCCAUUUUCUCUAUCUCCACUGUGCCUGUCUCUUAUUAUCUCUGUCUGUUCUAUGUGUCUGUCUCCUCUCUCUUUGUCCUUCUGCCUUCCUUGGGGUCCCCUCCACCUGCUCAGCUCAGGGAUAGGGUUAGCGGCUCCCAGAGAGACAGAAGCUUGGCCGGAGAGGGAGACAGCAGCCAAAGGGACCUUCUCUCCUUCUUGACUCUGCUUUACAGCACCCCCCAGGCUUCUACUCAGUGAGGAGGGCCCAGCUGUGCUCUGUCCUCUUCUUGUGGUGUCUCUGGUCUAAGCUGACUCUUACCUUUUCGUGUGUGUGUGUGUGUGUGCUCGCGCGCACGUGAGUGUGUGCGUGCGCGCACGUGAGUGUGUGCGUGUGCCCUCUCCUCUUGCACGGCAGCAGAGGGCUAACCUGUGCUCUUCUUCUCGUCUCGCUUCAUGCCCUUGAGCCUCUUGAGCAUGCCGCGCAGGUCGGUGAUGCCGUGCUGGAAGGCGAUGCGCUCAUAUUCGGAGGGGGAUGCCUGCCGCAGGAUCUCCCACACGUCCUCCUCGGCUGGCGCCUCCAGCCUCGGGUCCCUGCGUCCAGCAGAGAGGCCUCAAGGGAAUUCCCUCUGGCUGGGGGGGGGGGGAGGAGGGGCAGGCAGGACUGUUGCCCCCCGCCCUCCCCUGGGGUGGGGCUUCCUGGGGCCCAGGACCCCUCUGGUGGUGCCGCUUCGGCUGGCUUUGGACCUCGAGUUCAGUAUGGGGGAGUCCUGGUGGAAGUGGGGGUGACGGGGGCGCAGGCUUCAUCACGCGCUCACCUUAGGUUCCGGAAACUGCUGCUCCGGGCAGGACAAAAAGGCAGUAGACCAUUAGAGGCAUGGGCCACCUGCCCACAAAGGCCCCGGGGCCACAGCCCGUGGGCCUUCACCCCUCCCUUCUCCCCACACCAGUGUCCCUCCAUUUACACAGCAGGGCCUUCCCCACACAGGGCCUUGUUUGUUCCUCCUGAGCUCUGGCAGGUGAGUAUCUGGAGAACCAAAACUCAGAGACGCCCCAGGCAGUGGGGAUCCACACUCAGGUCUGUCUGAUUCCCAGCCCUGUCUGUCACCAGGGUACAGAGUCCCACCAACACCCUGUUGCCCCCAAACACCGGCCCCCGAUGCUUACUCUCUAGGCCGCGGCAGCAUCAGCCACAACGCAGGGUCCAGGAGAGAGAGGGAGAGGACACAGAGUCAGCUGGAGGGGCUGGGGGAGAAAUCCCUGCAGCUUGGCGCCCCCUCCCAGCUUCUUGUGAGUCCCUGGAGUCUACUGAGGCAAGCUCUCAUGGACUCAAGCGUCAGGGGUCGUGGGGGACCCUGGGAGGAUGUUAGUUCACAAGAUAUCAUGUCUGCAGAGCCCUCUGACUCUUCCCAACACCAGGAUUAUCCAAUUUUUUUUUUAAUGCUUAUUUAUUUUUGAGAUACAGAGUGAGACAGAACACAAGGGGAAGAGGGACAGAGAGAGGAGACACAGAAUCCGAAGUAGGCUCCAGGUCUGAGCCAUCAGCACAGAGCCCGAUGCAGGGCUCGAACCCACGAACAGUGAGAUCGUGACCUGAGCCGAAGUCGCCAUUUUACUGACUGAGCCACCCAGGCACCCCUAGGAUUAUCCCCUUUGACAGACAGGGAAAUUGGUUUAGAGAGGUACAGUAACCAGCUCAGGGCCACACAGCCGGAAAACCGCAUUGCUGGGAUUUGAAAUGGGGCCUCACCAUCUGCCCAGGAGCUGCUACCCAGGGGCUCACCUCUUCUUCAGCAGCGAGCUGAAAUCCAGAGUUCCAGCGUCCUCGUGGCUGUCACUACGGAGAGGGGCCCCAGUAAGGACCUCCCCAGCUGGAAGAGGCUUGGGGAGGUGGGGGUGGGGAGAGGUACUGGGAGAGGAAGGGACACUGUCUGGAUGGGGGGCUCCAUCUCAGACCCCCGAAGCCUGACGAGCAUGGGCUGGGAGAGGGGUACCUGAUCCGCCGACCACUUCCAGCCAGGCUCCUGUGGGGUUAGAACCAGUUCCUUCAGCUGCCCGGGGGAGCUUGCUGUCCCCCAUCACUAUCAACUUCAGCCCUGUCCCCCCACAGCCCCCCCCCCACAUCAUUCCCAGCCCUGACCCCGAGGGGCUUCAGAUCCCAGCACUGGCCUCCCCGCCGUCCCUGAGAAGAGAUGACCACUCACGUGCGGCGGAAAGCUGAUCGGAGGUCCAGGUCUCCAGGGCCAAUGGCCUCUGCGUUCAGAGAGGGAGAUGAGACAAGGAAGGGGCUUCAGAAGCCUGGGGCGAGGUACACCCCAGAAGCCUCGCUCACCCCGGAGUCUCCGCGUAUUACAGACCUGCCCAUCCAUGACCCUUGAGAGGGGGCAUCUGCCCCAGGACCCCACAUUCUGAGCCUUUCCAGAACUGAGGUACCAGGGAGUUUGGGUAGUUGAUGGUCCCCAGCCCCUUAGCGGUGGCUGAUCUCCCACGCAGCUCCCAGCUCACGCUUCACCUGUUCACCUGUGCCAGGAGCCUGGACCAUCUCACCAUCCAGGUGAGAUCUGGACUUGGCUGUCAGACCCCACCCCAACCCUGGGAACCUCCGUGGGUUUCUCUCGUGCCCCUGCAUGAGCAGCACUGGGCAUGUGGGCAGCGGUUGUCCUGUUGGGACUAGACAUCCUCCUUAGUGUUGGGAAAUGGAGGCAGACGUGGGGGAUAAGACCCAUGGGGACCUGAGCCCAGGACGCCAGGGCUCCCCUCACCAUGGACAGUGAGACUGAAGUUGCAGCUGUCAAAUUUGUCCUUGGUGGAAACCUCACAGCGGUAGCCACCUGCGAAAGUAGUCUGGGCAUCUGUAAUGUGCAGCUCAAACAGGUAGACCUGUAGAAGGAAGGUAUCAGGGGAGACCAGGGACCAGAAGAGAAGGCCCUUCACUCCUAAAGGAGACUGGGAGUGGCUAAUGGCCAUCAACAUUUUCACCCCUCAGGGU